Molecule: long non-coding RNA, 1237 nt
Organism: Gossypium arboreum
Lineage: Eukaryota; Viridiplantae; Streptophyta; Magnoliopsida; Malvales; Malvaceae
Exons: 3
Source: RefSeq, a predicted model, not a curated record
ACAGCAAAGUAGCAACAUGAAAUGACGGAGCAAGCAAAUAAAAUAAAUACAAUUGACAAAGCAGGGAAAACCACAAAACGCACCUAAAAACUACCAAGACCAUAAAAAAGAAGAAAAACCGCCCUAAGCCAACAAAACAGCAGCUCUCUACAAGCCAAAUAUCAGCCAAACAACUUUAUUCGCCUUCUGAGAAAAAAAUCGAGACUGGUAAAAGAACAAAAACGAAUGCUUUGAAUCCAAAACUGGAGAUUCAGUGAACCUUCUCCUCUUUCAAAGCAAAUCAAAGGGAACCAUGAUGACUCUGGUUCCAAGCCAGACAAUCCUUCAUCGCCAUCAUCUUCACAGAAUUAGGCAUUCCAUCAACCCAAACCCCAAAAAACUAUCUUCUCUGUCCUUCCAAUGCUAAAGUGUGAGCCGCUCCAUUAACCAUUCAGGGUACAAAUAGGGAAUCACUUUUCACAAUCAGACGCCGGCACCUGCCAAAAGUAAUGCCCUUUUGGCAUACCCUUGCUUCUGCCACAAAGGCAUCAACAACAUCCUCAAAAAGAUAAGUUUCUGCCCCUACAAUUUCCCCUUCUGAGUCUCUGGCUAAAACUUCCCCUUCUGAGUCUCUAGCUAAAACUACUAUUAUAGCUAGUCUAGCUUCACUUUGAAAAGCCGCAUCAAAGUUUAACUUAAUAACACCAGCAUCUGAGGGUCUUCAAAGUUCUUUUGCCAUGGAACUACAAGACGGACUAAGGUUCACUUGAAAAAAGUGUUAGCGAAACGAUUCUUGCAACACGUCAAAGCUUCAAUUGACAGAAUCGUAAUGUUUAAAGAUGCCCAUAUACGCUGUAUAAUACCACAAGACCACAUCAGAUGAUCAGCAUCCUCCGGAUCUUUCUUGCACAAGGGAGAGACAAUUUCAACACUCAAAUUUCUACGUGUCAGAUUGCAGAAAUGAGGCAAAAAAUUAUCAAACAGCCUCCAUAUGUGUAUUUUGAUUUUUUCUAGAAUGUGCAUAGCCCAUAAUGAUUUGUAAAAUUCAUUGUAGUAAUCAAUAUUAGGGAAAGUGACUGUAGUAUUCUAUAGGUGCUCCGUAGAAAGAACUCGAUACCCACUUUUCACUGUAUAUUCCCCCGAGCCUUCAUAUUUCCAAACCAUCAUGUCUUCUGAACCACCCCUAGAUAUAGGAAUGGAGAAAAUACGCACUGCUGUAGCUGCAUUAACUAUAUUAAGAACCAGCUCUUUAUUCCAA